RNAcentral lists this ribosomal RNA (253 nucleotides) under uncultured bacterium. RNAcentral describes it as "partial 16S ribosomal RNA". It matches the Rfam family "Bacterial small subunit ribosomal RNA", at positions 524 to 776 of the family's 1533-position model. The record is from RNAcentral.
GACGAACCGUGCUAACGUUAUUCGGAAUCACUGGGCUUAAAGGGCGCGUAGGCGGGCAAGCAAGUCGAAGGUGAAAUCCCACGGCUCAACCGUGGAAGUGCCCCCGAUACUGCUUGUCUUGAGGGAGAUAGGGGCGUGCGGAACUUCCGGUGGAGCGGUGAAAUGCGUAGAUAUCGGAAGGAACACCGGUGGCGAAAGCGGCGCGCUGGAUCUCUUCUGACGCUGAGGCGCGAAAGCCAGGGGAGCAAACGGG